This 607-nucleotide long non-coding RNA is filed under the name Mus musculus (house mouse). RNAcentral's name for it is "long non-coding RNA chr3:123761328-123761935". Lineage: Eukaryota; Metazoa; Chordata; Mammalia; Rodentia; Muridae. The record is from RNAcentral.
AUGGGUGCAUACAAAUACAUCCAGGAGCUAUGAAGAAGCAGCCCGACGUGAUGUGCUUUCUUCUGAGUGUCCUCUGCUGACAACACCACCAGCACUCUGCGCUGCACAGGGCUCCCUGACCCACCCGGCCUGAUAAAGCGCAAAGUCUGGGAUACAAGGCUAAGCAAGGUUAUGUCAUUUACAGGAUUUAUAUCCACCACGGUGGUUGCCAGCGCCGGGUUCCUAGGGAUGCAACUUACAGCAAGCCUGUCAACCAUGGUGUUAACCAGCUGACAUUUGCCCAAAGCCUUUAGCCUGUUGCUGAGGAGAGAGCUGGGCGCCAUUGAAGGGCUUUGAGAGUCCCGAAUCUCUACUGGGUUGGUGAAGAUUCCACAUAUAAAUAUUUCGAGGUUAUCCUCAUUGAUCAGUUCCAUAAAGCUAUCAGAAGAAAUCCUGACACCCACUGGAUCACCAAACCAGUCUACAAGCACAGAGAAAUACAUGGGUUGACAUCUGCUGGCUGAAAGAGCCUGGCCUCAGAAAGGGCUACAAGUUCCACUACACAGUUGGUUCUCGCCGUGCAGCCCAGAGAAGGCUCAAUACUCUCCAGCUCCACCGUUACCACUAA